CCUACGGGAGGCAGCAGUGAGGAAUAUUGGUCAAUGGACGAGAGUCUGAACCAGCCAAGUAGCGUGAAGGAUGACUGCCCUAUGGAUUGUAAACUUCUUUUAUAUGGGAAUAAAACAGGGUAUGCAUACCCUCUUGUAUGUACCAUAUGAAUAAGGAUCGGCUAACUCCGUGCCAGCAGCCGCGGUAAUACGGAGGAUCCGAGCGUUAUCCGGAUUUAUUGGGUUUAAAGGGAGCGUAGGUGGAUUGUUAAGUCAGUUGUGAAAGUUUGCGGCGCAACCGUAAAAUUGCAGUUGAAACUGGCAGUCUUGAGUACAGUAGAGGUGGGCGGAAUUCGUGGUGUAGCGGUGAAAUGCUUAGAUAUCACGCAGAACUCCGAUUGCGAAGGCAGCUCACUGGACUGCAACUGACACUGAUGCUCGAAAGUGUGGGUAUCGAACAGGAUUAGAUACCCCUGUAGUC
RNAcentral lists this ribosomal RNA (460 nucleotides) under uncultured bacterium. Its description in RNAcentral is "partial 16S ribosomal RNA". It matches the Rfam family "Bacterial small subunit ribosomal RNA", at positions 338 to 795 of the family's 1533-position model. The record is from RNAcentral.